CACGCCCUCUCUCGAUGGCAGUAAACAAUCUCUGAGUAUUUUUUUCUGCAGUAUGCUUACUACAAGCUACAAGGUCUUCAUCAGAACCUUCCCAUGCUGUGAAACAAUCUUUGAAGGUUGCAGUUACAGUCCGUUUAAGGUCAACCGCUUCUGUUCCUCAGAUAGAGAUGAGCGCCAUUUGACAUACAGCGUGGGACUGCCGUGAUGGGUCUUCCUGUGAGCAUGAGCAGUCUGGAGCCUGCAACAAUGUCCACUCACUUCCGUCAUCCAAUCAGUCAGCUGGGCUCGCCCACCUGCCUUCUCCCCUCGCCUCGCCUCCGCGGUGUUCCCCCGGCUUCCCUCCACGCUCCUCGCCCCUCUCGGUCGCCUCACCUGAACCUUUCCAGCCCCGCCAGGUCCUCGGCCCCCCGCGUCCACGCCUGCCAGCGUCCAACUUUCCCCUUUUCACCUCGUGUCGCUCCUCUCCCUUUUUUCCCUCAAUAAACCUCUUUUGCAAACUGA
Long non-coding RNA from Micropterus dolomieu (smallmouth bass), 501 nucleotides. RefSeq lists it as uncharacterized. The transcript has 3 exons. The record is from RefSeq and is a predicted model, not a curated record. NCBI's taxonomy places the organism in Eukaryota, Metazoa, Chordata, Actinopteri, Centrarchiformes, Centrarchidae.